This 435-nucleotide ribosomal RNA is filed under the name Acinetobacter baumannii. RNAcentral's name for it is "bacterial SSU rRNA". It matches the Rfam family "Bacterial small subunit ribosomal RNA", at positions 1098 to 1533 of the family's 1533-position model. The record is from RNAcentral. Lineage: Bacteria; Pseudomonadati; Pseudomonadota; Gammaproteobacteria; Moraxellales; Moraxellaceae.
GCAACCCUUUUCCUUACUUGCCAGCAUUUCGGAUGGGAACUUUAAGGAUACUGCCAGUGACAAACUGGAGGAAGGCGGGGACGACGUCAAGUCAUCAUGGCCCUUACGGCCAGGGCUACACACGUGCUACAAUGGUCGGUACAAAGGGUUGCUACACAGCGAUGUGAUGCUAAUCUCAAAAAGCCGAUCGUAGUCCGGAUUGGAGUCUGCAACUCGACUCCAUGAAGUCGGAAUCGCUAGUAAUCGCGGAUCAGAAUGCCGCGGUGAAUACGUUCCCGGGCCUUGUACACACCGCCCGUCACACCAUGGGAGUUUGUUGCACCAGAAGUAGCUAGCCUAACUGCAAAGAGGGCGGUUACCACGGUGUGGCCGAUGACUGGGGUGAAGUCGUAACAAGGUAGCCGUAGGGGAACCUGCGGCUGGAUCACCUCCUUA